Molecule: long non-coding RNA, 9648 nt
Filed under: Homo sapiens (human)
Lineage: Eukaryota; Metazoa; Chordata; Mammalia; Primates; Hominidae
Description: PREDICTED lncRNA (TCONS_00188630)
Source: RNAcentral
GGAAGAGGCUUUUAUUUGUAAAGAAAUGAACUUACAACUGAUCUACAAUAUAUUAUUGUAAUAUAAACAAUAUAAAUAAAUGAUCCUGUAGGCCCACUAAUCUUCCAUCCAGACCCACAUGAAGCAAUGUUACAACAAUAUUCUAUAUGAAAAUGUGCAGGUAACAAAGGUGCAAUUACAAGCAAGUUAAGCAGCAGAGUAUAAGGUGCUUUAAUUUAAUAGUUAAUGUUGCCAUCAACAAACAUUUAAAUGCUCAAUUUACUUCACUGAAUACAGACACAACAAAUAUGAAAAUCUAAAUUCAUACACAUGCUACUUAAUAUGAAAGUGCUUUCUCUUUUUUAAAAAAAUACACCAAAUGGACACUUUUUACAUAGAUCAAAUGUGCUCUUACAAUGCAAAAUUAACCUUCAUUUUCAGGUUAUACAUUUUAAAACUGUAGCUAUCAACACCAAUCUAGGAACUCUAAUGCUAAGAGUGCUAAAAACUAUUUCAUUUCUUGUAAGGAGGACUCUAAUACAAUAUCCAAUGUAAAGAAUACAUCUAUAUAUAAUCUUAACAUGUUUUCUGUAAAGAUAAAAAAUGUUUUCUUUCCCCUUGGUGAUCUUUGUUCAUCCUGGGUGGAUCAUCUUUUGAGGUUUUAAUAAUAUGAAAGUCCUAUUUUAGAACAAUGGGAGGAACCAAAAGGGGAAUUAAAAAAUUGGUUAACGUGUGCUUGAAGCAUCCAAAAAACACCAGUUUAUCACAACAAUUGGUCUUUGCUAAAAUUAACAAAAUUUUAAUAAGCAAGACGACAAAAAGUACUAAUUUAAAAGGCUUGAAAUGCCUGCCACCAUUGUCAGUAUCCAUCCAUCCAACCUUCAUUUACUACAAGCACAAUACUACUUUGAGGAUAGUUUUUGGAACUUAUUUUGACUUUUUUCCCUAUAGGAAAAACAAAGACCAAGCUUUUGAAGGAGAGGACUGGGAAUCUAGUUUAAAUGUCUACAUCCAAAAUUAUAUCAUCUUUGCGCAUUCAGUUGACUUUUUAAAAUUUAAGAAUACAUAUACAAAAAGUACUUAUGGAAUACAUAUUUUAACAGCAUAACAUAUUUGAAGAAUUAGUUACACUUUAAAAAUUAAAACACUUGAAAAGUAUUUUUUAAACCAGUACCAUGGAAUAACUUUUUGAAACCCAGAUUAUCUGGCUACUUAGAUGAUAGUCUUCCUGUUUUCAAUUAGUUUGAAAGAUUCUAAUAUAGAUUCUAACCCAACAGUUUAUAUGGAUAUUUUCCUGCUUUAAAAAGCUGCAACAGGCUAGGCGCAGUGGCUCAUGCCUAUAAUCCCGGCACUUUGGGAGGCUGAGGUGGGCGGAUCACUUGAGGUCAGGAGUUCGAGUCCAGCCUGGCCAACAUGGUGAAACCCCAUCUCUACUAAAAAUACAAAAAACUGGCCAGGCAUAGUGGUGCAUGCCAGUAAUCCCAGCUACUUGGGAGGCCAAGGUGGGAGAAUCUAUUGAACCUGGGAGGUGGAGGUUGCAUUGAGCCAAGAUCACACCGCUGCACUCAAGCCUGGGUGACAGUGAGACUCUGUCUCAAAACAAACAAAACAAAAAAGCUAAAACAAUGAUAAACUAUUUUUAAUAGAUAUUUUCAUUCUAUAUCUUUAUGGAGAAUGUCAGUAUCAACUGAUGUUAACAAGUAAAGCUUUGUCAACAGGAAUUACAAUGUGAUUCACAGAUCCCAGAAUGACAAGGAAGGGACCUUAACCCAAUAAAUGAUUCUCCCAUUCAAUGUUUACCCCCUAGAUACUUAACAAUUCAAGCAUGGAACUGUUUCAUGUUUACCCGUUCUACAUUUAAAGGAUGCCCUUUUACUAUAUAUGUGCUUUCUAGAAUAUUACUGAUUCUUACAUAUCUUUAAAAGUUGGAUAUUUGUAAUAGCUUAAAGUACAGUAACACUUAUUUUGUGUAAUCUUUCUUAAUUUAAAAACAAAAAAUAAAUGAACAAGUCAGUUCCAAUGAUCUCCUUUGAGAUUUUUCAGUUUUAGAAAGUUGCUACACUGUCGGACAGGUGUGGUGGCUCAUGCCUGUAAUCCCAGCACUUAGGGAGGCCAAGGCAGGUGGAUCACUUGAGGUCAAGAGUUCGAGACUAGCCUGGCCAACAUGGUGAAGCCCCGUCUCUACUAAAAAUACAAAAAUUAGCCAGGUGUGGCGGCGGGCACCUGUAAUUCCAGCUACUUGGAAGGCUGAGGCAAGACAAUCGCUUCAACCCGGGAGGUGGAGGUUGCAGUGAGCUGAGAUCGCACCACUGCACACCAGCCUGGGCAACAGAGCGAACCCAUCUCAAAAAAAAAAAAAAGAAAAAAAAAAAAAAAGAAAGAAAGUUGCUCACUGUCAAUACUGGGUAAAAAGCUCUUAUAUCAACACCAGCUUUUUUUUUGUUCUGCCACAUGCCUUGUAUAGCAACAACUCUGGAAUAGAGUCAAGUGUCAAAAUAAUGUUGUGAAAUACGGGCUGUCUCAACCUGUAAGUCCUUAAUGUUAAGUCUCCUAAAUUUUGUAACUUAAUCAGGUAUGGGGCCAACUGAUGUUUAGUAUGUGAAAUGUGUUAUAAAAAUUAUGAUAUGAUUCACUCAGACCCCUUAGAUGUCAUCUAGCCUAACCCUUUACCCAAUGUAUACAAAUAUUCCCUCCCAGUUCCAAGUUUAUUAAGAUUCCCUCUCAGUAUAUUAAGUAGUAAUGAUUAUGUUCAUAUUUAUUUAAGCCACAAUGAAUUUUGGGGGGAAGAUUUUACUUACUACUAGUUCCUCAUGUCAUGUUCACCAAACACUGCACAUGUAAGUGUUCAAAUAGUUUGCUAAAUGAAUUUAAGUACAUGAAUGACAAUAUUCAUAUGUGUUCAUAUAUUCAGUGGUUAACCAAUAAGGAGCAUUUAGGAAAAUGUCAUCAUUUGCUUGUUAUGUAUGAAUUUUCUAUUUUAAUCCUUAGGAGAACAAAGACUGUAGGUGACCCAAGAAAUGGAUGCUUAUUAAGUAUAAAAUGAACCCUUAAAAAAGGAAAGAGAAUAAAGUAGGAAUAACCCCAUUACACAGCCUAGAAUCAUAGUUUUAGAGCUGGGAGGUACCUUAAAGAUGAAUUAAACCAAAAUCAACUUUUGAGUAGUACAGGCACCAUACUGCAUAUCUGGAAGCUGUUAAAACAGCUGAGUAAUUGCCCAACAUGUCACACACAGCUAACCCACUGAAAUAAAACCCCAGUCUCCAGACCAGUGUGUUAAUCCUCAUUCAUCAUCAUCUUAAUUCAUUAUUUACUACUGAAAUAGAUUAUUUACUGAUUAUUUAAUACUACCCAAAACAAAAAAUACUUUUAAGAGAAGCAUUCUAAAUAAAGAUUUAAACACUAGACACUUCUGGUUUACUUUAGGCAAGACUAAAAAAUUCUUUCUAAAACAGGUUGAUGUUUAACUUCACUAAUGACUAGACACCCCACCACUCUCUCAUAAACACCAACUUUUUCACCACCAUCACUUAAAGCUCCACAAAGCUUGGAUUUAACACUGAUAAUAUUCCAUGAAAUAUAACUUUUAAGCCAAUAAGUGAUGGUGACUAUCAAUCCUUAAGAUGAUUACUGGAGUAAAUUUAAACAGGUGCUCUAAAAGAACUUACUACCUUACUCUUAUAUUUAAUUAACACCUUGCCAUGUUAGUAUAACAGUGUUUUCAAAUUAUGUUGUUUUCAAAACUGAAAUUCAUUCAUUACUCUGCUUUUUUUAAACAACAAAUUUUGUUUUCUUUCUAUGGAUUCAUACUGAACACCACCAGUAUCACUGAGAGGACUAGUACUUGUAAAAAGCAGUAGAAACAAAAAUAUUUUUCAAAAGUAUAAAGCUAGCUAGAACCUCACUAUGUUGUACCUCUAACAUUUCCGAUUAAAAUUGUCAUCUUUAAGUAAAAUUAAAUGUCAACAAACUAUAAAAGGGAAAAAAUAAAACAUCUGGAAAACAUUUCCCAAAUGUUCCCAUAAACAUGACACUUGGAAGGGGUGUGUGCAUGUGUCUGAGUAGAAAAGCUGAUCUUCAGAGCUGAAAAGGAGGGCAGAGAUUCUCCCUUAAUGUAUGUUUUCUAAAUUGAAAGUUUAGAAAAAGCCAUAUUCUCUGGAAUGUGAUGGUAAUAAUUAUAUUUGUAUUAUUUGUAUUAAUGCUUUACAACUUUCAAAAAAAAGCUUUCUCAUAGUACAAUUUUAAAACGGAUUAGGUUCUAAAAACUAAUAUGUAAAACUUUGAAAAUUCUUAAAAAUUUAGGAAAUUCUUUUUCCAAAGAAGGUAAUCUAAUUUUAAAUUUAUUUGAAGAAAGCUUAUAUAACUACUGUGAACAAAACUAUAUGAUACAUUUUAUGAACUUCUAAUAAAAGAGGACGUAUCUUCCCAAAUAAUUUUUUGUUUUGUUUUUUUGAGAUGGAGUCUCGCUCUGUCACCCAGGCUGGAGUGCAGGGGUGUGAUCUUGGCUCACUGCAACCUCCACCACCUGGGUUCAAGCAAUUCUCCUGUCUCAGCCUCCCAAGUAGCUGGAAUUACAGGUGUGAGCCACCAUGCCCAGCCCCAAAUAAUUUCUUUUAAGAUAUACAGCUUAACAAGUUGAAAUUUUAGUAAGAUUGCAUAUUUACUUUUCCUAAUACUGUAUUUGUGCUUAUCUAAAGUGGAUCACAAUCUUUGAGAUGAAAUUAAAUGCUCCAAGUAGAUUUGUAAAAUACCAAUAUUGAUGAAUGUGGGUAAACAGUUCAUUUCAUGAUCCACACUGCUGUGAACCAAAGAAGCAGAGGUAGGCUUGUGUUUACUGAAAUCCAGACUAGGAAAGAGAAACCUAUAGCUCUUCUUUUCCCAAUUCUUAGACUGAGACACAACCUAGCAAAUAAAAUACUAUCUUAAAAUGCCUCUCUUUAUAACAAUCUACAGAGGUGAUUCAACUGUGAUAUCUGAAAAUGGAAACUCUGUAAUUCUGGCAACUCAAUUACAACAACCUUUGAAUUUUUGACAAAUAUUCUCCAACUGUAAUAAAAGGUUCUCACCUUUUUCAGAAAUCAAAAAUCACUAACUUCUACAUCACUGGAACUAUUAAUAUCCAUGCUCCCAAGCAUGGAGACAGUGGGUAUAGAGAGUGAAAGAAUGAGUCUGAUUACAGGUAAAUCUUGACAUAUAAAAACUAUAACCUAUUUACUGCUAUAACUGGCAUCUAACAAAACGCAUUAUUUUGAACUAUGGAUGAAAGCCAUAUCUAUCCUAAAUAUCUUCUAUCCUCUUGGGUCUAGAAUGCUUUGUUCCUCCUACUUGUCUCCUCCUCUACUUCCCUAUCCUUCCCCCUAGAAAACCUUCCUUAGGGCCCAGCUAGUUACAUAUGUAGUACACAAGAUAGAGAUUGAGCAAUCAUUUUGCAUAGAUGCGCCAGUUUCCACUGCCCAAAGGUUGCUCUGGAACAUGACUGUCAGGUAUCAGAAAGUCCUGCCCCAGCUGCCUCCCUUCCUAAAGUUAGCCCCCAUACGAAAUCCUCUCUAAGGAUUCUGAGACAAAGAUCUCUCCAAGAAAGAAGUUUUCAUGGUUUUCUUGGAGCUAGAGGCCUUAGAGAGGUAGUGAGAUGAGGCCCUUUCAUGCCAUUAGCUAAUGCUCAAUGCCAGUAGGCUGCAUGUGUUCCUGCAAUCCACCAAGGUGAAAACCACAAACUAUAACCAGGCUGUUCUGGCUGAAAAUACAUCUUUAAAACAUUUUAACAGUGUGUCCAGUCAGUUUCAUCCACUGGAUAUGGCUGUCAGGUCAGCAUCACUCACAUACAUCUAUAAUAGUGUAUUCUUUCAAAAAUUGUUUAUACACACUUAAUAUAGGCAUAUAGCCUAAGACUAUAUUGCCUCCCUACCAUACUUGUGCCAUUGUGGUACCAAAAGCCUGAAGAUGUACAUAAUGUACUUUAAGACAUUUAACUGAACAAGUCAGUGGGAGACAGGGCACUAUAACACAUUUCAAUUCAAUCUAAGACUUGUAUUUGUGAAUAGAUGUCUCAUUAUAAUUUUAUACUUGAUACAUGAAGAUAAGCUACGUCAAAAAUUAUUCAAAGGCAUGAUCACAAUAAUACUUGUUUCAUAGUUCUAAGUAUUUUGAUACACCAGGAAACAAAAAUCAACUGGGAUCCCUAAUGAAAGAAAAUUAUUUCUUCUAAGUAAAACAUGAAUUUCACUUCAAAAGUGCAGAAAUGUGCUCAGUGUUGAAGUAGGCUAAGCUAACAAGGAUGAUGGCCUCCUCCUCUGACUCUUCCCAUGCUCAAGCUUUUGCAUUACCAUUUCUCUCCUCCCAUUCCACCUUGUCUACUCCUAGGUGACUGCUCUUAAAACACACCUUUUAAAAAGUUCUGUUUAGAGCAUUCAACAGCAAAGUAACAGGACCAUCAGGGAAAUAAUAUGCUACUUAAAAAGUGACAGGAGGAUUUGGGACAACACUCUAUCUCAUACUAUAUUGACUACUCAAAGCUGCAUAGCUGUGUCUUACACAUGCCUACACAAGGCUUGAUGAAUAUUAAUGUCAUAUAAAAAAUAAUUUUUACAAAUCAGCUCUCUUAGUUGUUUAACUUCCCCAGGAACACAAGGCUUAAAGCAAAAUUUCAAACUUAUGCUUUUUAUCCCAAUGGGACAAAGAGUGCAACACUGCAAGGAAGUCAGAAAAUGCAAACUUAGGUAGCAAAAGUAGGAAGAACCUCCAUGUUCCCUUUCUGUUUGUCAUUAUCUCUCCCCAGUCAAAAUCCUAAAACUAUUAGUAGUAGUAUGAAAGGAUAUGAAAACAAUUUACUCUCCCCACCUAUAUCAUACUGAAACUCUGCUUUAAAGCUCAGGAGAGAGGUGGAUGCUCAGUGUUGUCUAUAUAUCCAUUAUAUAUAGCUGAAGCUUUGAAAUUAAGAUGAUUAACUCAUCUUGAAAGAAACAGCUGCACCAAUGUGAUAGCAAACAAGCCAUUUUUAAAUAAAAACUCACUUGAAAAAAGCAAGUGCAUAUUUUGUGUAUGUUUUGAGUGGGGACAACAGAGAUCUGGACUAGAUUUAAGAUUAUACGGUAUUCUCCAAUAGAAAACCCUCUUGUAAGCCCCUCCUGAAUACUUAAGACAGCAGUAGGCACAGGGGCUUUCAAUAAGUACAGAAUGGCUGCUAUUAGGAAAGAGAACAAAUAAAAGGAGAGCCUACAACACAGUUCAAAAUUGAUACCUUAAAGGCCAUAGGUAAUACAGUUAUAGGAUGUAAUCAUUAUUGCUGGAGCAGUCUAUCCCCAUAUAAUAAAUUUUGUAUUAACCGUGGAUAAUCUAUGAAAAGUUUUAAUUCCAGGCGAGAUUUUCCGUUGCACCUCUCUCUCUCAUACUGUGGGCCAUCUCUUACUAAUGCUUAGCCUGUAUUUGUGUUCUGAAAUUCCAAGAAGAGGGAAAAGUCAAGCAUAUGACAAUUCUGUCAUGAUGAUUAACUGCUAAUAAAUGAAAACUCAUUAUAGAGUACCUAGCUUUCCUUGAUACUUUAAUCCAAUGAUUAAAAAUGUGAUAUAAAGAAAUACGUAACAUAGACUACAAGCUAUCGUAGGUCUGGAACAUGAGCCUUAUAUUAUAUUACAUAUUCUAAUCCUACAUGUAACUAUCAGUAAACAUCUUUUUUUAAAACAUUACUACACAAAGAAUUCCACAAAGCAUACAUUCAAACAAGAGGCAUCUAAAGAUUAAAAAAAUUACCCGCUGUAUUUUUGUAUAAAAAUAAUCAACAUUCUCUAAUGUACACAAAGCCAAAAGAUAAAUAUAGUAUCUGUGAUGUCUUCAGUGACAUCUUUAGUCUUCUACCAGCUCAACACAAUCUUUUUGAAAAGAGCAGUGAAAAUGACUGAAACUCACGGACUCUUUUUUUCCCCUCCUUACUCGACUUCUGCCAAAUAUCUGUGUAUGUUCCUUCAAUUACUAAAAUAUCUCAAUUGUGGUAAUAUAAGAAAAGAUGAAAACAAAACAUUCAUCAUCUCAAAUAAAAUUUUUGAUGUCCAGGACUAUAAAGCUUUCAGGGCUUCCACAAACAAUUUUGUUUUAGUGUCAUAAUUCUAUAGAACACUGUUCAGUAAAAGGUUUUGCUUUACAUUUUUUUCCUCAAACAUGUACAUACAAAAUUAUAUCCGAUGGUUCAAGAGAAAUCACUUGGUAAGUGCUUUGCAGGAAGCAUGCAAACGUUUGGUAAAGGAAGUAGGAAUGUGCAUUCUAGCUAGUCCCAGCAUGUUCAACAAUAGAAAAAAAUCCAAAGAGCAACCACGUAUCUGCUACAAACUAUUUUCUUGCCAGAAAAGGCUGUGCACUAGUUCAUAGGUAUAAUCAUAUUAUGUCUUCGUCAGUGCAGAGGAGCACAGAGGUAUGAAAGAUAAUCAGAAUGAAUUAGUACUUUCUGAGAGUUAAAUUAUUUGCAUGUUUGUCCUUAUUUUAUAGGACAAUUUGUAGAUUUUUUUUCUUUUUCUAGUAUGAUUAAACUAGAAAAAAUUAUUCAGCAGAAUAUUAAUGUUAUCUGAAUAAUACUUCCAUCAUAUAUGUUUAGUAAGCUUCAUCCUUUAAAAGUAUUCCUUUGGGUGAAAACAAUAUUUAUCACUCCUUCUAUAUCAGAGUUUCUCAACCUUGGCAGUACCGAUAUUUUUGAACCAAUAAUUCUUUACAGUGGAGGGGUGCUGUCCUGUGCAUUAUAAGAUGUUUAGAAACAUCUCUGGCUUCUAACUACUAGACACCAGUAGCAACCCUCCCCUGAACCCACCCCCAAGCUGUGACAACCAAAAUGUCUCAACAUUGCCAGAUGUCCCCUGGCGAUCAAAACUGACCUCCACUGAGAACCACUGCUCUAAAUAAAUGUACAAAAACUGAGAGGAAAACGUUCUCAGUCAAACCAAAUUCUUGGUCAAGUUUGGAAUAGAAACUAACUCUUCUCACUUCCAGAUCAGUAUUGUUCAUACUAGAACACAAUUCCUUUUUUAUAGAUAAAGCAUAUGUCUAAAAGACAUGUUUUUUAAAAUGUACACUGAUUUCAUACGAUUCUGUCACUGGACUACUAAAUUAUUCCAUAAUAUACCUCUCAUGACAACCUUUAGAAAACUAAUAGGGUAGAAAAAAUGUAUAAGAAAAUUGAAUCAAAAGAGGAGAAAUGUAAAUCAUUAAAUUACUUUUAAAAGGAUUCUUUAUAUUAAUGAUAAACAUCACCUUUAAAAAAAUUAUCUAGUAUAACACAUUUCUUUGAAAAAUAUCAUGGCCCUCUGUAACAAGUCUUUCAAUGUUUCAUGUAACCUGUAAAAUUAAUUUUACCAAUGUUUAUUAAUUAUGAAAAUGCAUGAUGAAUUAUUAUACCUGUAGAAGAAAUGUCAGUAUUUGAUGUGGAGAUCCCAAUGUGCUUGGCUAUCCACCACAAUAAGUGUCAUAUUCUAGACCAAGUUAGGCCUUUACCUUACAAGUUUUUGUGAGAAAAGUAAAACUGCUGUUUUAUCAAGGCUUCAUGUUCCUGUUAAGAUUCCUUCAGAGAGUUGAUGCGUGCACAGAUCUUCAGGGCUGGGCCUAGCUUGAUAUUCAUUGCACUCAUGAGAUGGUCUUCUUUCAGCAAGAGAAGGGCCUGUCCAUCAAUCUCCUGUGCUCUGAAUUCAUCUGCGA